Pongo pygmaeus (Bornean orangutan) is the source of this 1737-nucleotide long non-coding RNA. RefSeq lists it as uncharacterized. Lineage: Eukaryota; Metazoa; Chordata; Mammalia; Primates; Hominidae. The record is from RefSeq and is a predicted model, not a curated record. The transcript is spliced from 2 exons.
GCCUCUUUCAAGGUCUCCGUGUGAGGGGUGGGGGGCAUCAAGCCCCUCCGAGCCCCGCUUCACGAUCGCCUUCCUUUAGAAAAGAAACUCAAUUGGCCAUUCAGUAAAUUCCCUUCCCCUAAAAGUCAAAAAACUAAACGGGACGAAUUAAACCUAAAACAAAAAGCUCUUCAAAGUUGUCUUUAUCCGAAUAGUCAGGGAUGGAAACGGACAACUGGUUGAAAAGCCUGUUCCAAAGAAGAGAUGAGAACUUUUGCGCACUCGCCACAAACAUCUACGGGCGCUCAUCCCUCCUCUGAGAACCGCACGCGUUCCGAAAUUCUCCUUCCCACCAAGAAUUCCCACUCCCAUCAUUGAGGACUAACGAGGCAAUGUGGUCUCCGACUGAGAGCGGUGGACUAGCCAGUGAGUAUCAACGCAUCCCUAAGGCGAAAUUCGCAGCCGCCCCAGCCGCGUAGCCCACCUGGCACCGCCCCCGCCGCAACGCCUCGUCACGUGGCGUGGCCUCCGCCCCGCCGUCCCGCCCACUACCACUGUGGCCGCACCCACCUUCUGUCGCCUCUCUGCUACCAGAGGAGCACUGGACGGGGAAUUUGCGAAUAGGAACCAAGUCCUCUGCGUCUAGACAGGGAUUAUUUUCUCUUCUGGAAUUCCGCCUGAUCCAUCCCAACGCACCAGCCGGCCAACCACGCGUGCGCAGCCUUGGUCUCCGCCCUCUUUUCCCGUCAGGCUCCGGACCUGAGCUGAGUAGAACUUCCCAGCAUUCCUCUUUCCUCAGUUAUGGUUCACUUCUUAAAGAGACCGAGGCUCAAUUGUGAAAAGGUGGAGAUGGCAUUAGAAGGCGCUAACUUCAAAUAACAACGUAGUUUCCAUCUGAUGACAUGGAACCUCAGUGUGAGUGACUCCGUUUUGAUUUUUAGUCUGGUUCAUUGAGACCUACUGCAGGAGCUUAGCCUGAAACAAUGGCCUACAAUUUUUAUUUAACAGUGAUACAUAUGCCCACAUUCCUGUUGGGUUCAUACCUAAAAGUGAAAUUGCUUGUUAUGUAUAUGUAAAAUUUAGGUAGAUAAUCUCAAGCAAUUUUAGAAAAUGGUGGUUUCAGUUUAUACUCCCUUCAGCCAUGUAUGAGAGUUUCAGUUUCCCAACAUCCUUGCCAAUAAUUACUACUGCAUAUCUUUUUAAUUAUAAUCAUUCUGAUGGGGGUAUAGUGGUAUCUCACUGUGGUUUUAAUUUGCAUUUCCCAGAUUAUUAAUGAGGCUGAGCCCAUUUUCUUGUUUCUUGGGUAUCUGGAUAUCCCCCAUAAGUGCCUGUUCAAGUCUCUUGCUCAUUUUUGUAUUGGAUUGACAUUUUCUUAUGGGCAUAUAUUUUAGAUAUGAAUCCUGCUAUGGUUUGAAUGUAUGUGUCCCUUCAAAAUUCAUAUAUUGGAACUUAAACAUUAAGGCGAUAGUAUAAAAAGUGGAGCCUUUGGGAGGGGUUAGGCUAUGAGGACUCCAUCCUCAUGAAUGGGAUUCAUGCCCUUACAAAAGAGGGCAUUCAUGCCCUUCACAAAGGUUCAUUCCUUUUGCCCUUUUAACCCCUCACUGUAUGAUAACAAUGUUCCUCCCAGCAGGAGGACAACAACAAAGUUUCAUCUUGGAAUUAGAGAGUAAUUCCAAGACAACAAAUCUGCCAGUGCCUUGAUCUUGGACUUGCCAACCUCCAGAACUGUGAGAAAUAAAUUUCUACCAUUUAUAAAUU